RNAcentral lists this ribosomal RNA (468 nucleotides) under uncultured bacterium. RNAcentral describes it as "partial 16S ribosomal RNA". It matches the Rfam family "Bacterial small subunit ribosomal RNA", at positions 28 to 507 of the family's 1533-position model. The record is from RNAcentral.
GACGAACGCUGGCGGCGUGCUUAACACAUGCGAGUCGAACGGAAAGGCCCUGCUUUUGUGGGGUGCUCGAGUGGCGAACGGGUGAGUAACACGUGAGUAACCUGCCCUUGACUUUGGGAUAACUUCAGGAAACUGGGGCUAAUACCGGAUAGGAGCUCCUGCUGCAUGGUGGGGGUUGGAAAGUUUCGGCGGUUGGGGAUGGACUCGCGGCUUAUCAGCUUGUUGGUGGGGUAGUGGCUUACCAAGGCUUUGACGGGUAGCCGGCCUGGGAGGGUGACCGGCCACAUUGGGACUGAGAUACGGCCCAGACUCCUACGGGAGGCAGCAGUGGGGAAUAUUGCACAAUGGGCGGAAGCCUGAUGCAGCAGCGCCGCGUGCGGGAUGACGGCCUUCGGGUUGUAAACCGCUUUCGCCUGUGACGAAGCGUGAGUGACGGUAAUGGGUAAAGAAGCACCGGCUAACUACGUG